This 120-nucleotide ribosomal RNA is filed under the name Betta splendens (Siamese fighting fish). Lineage: Eukaryota; Metazoa; Chordata; Actinopteri; Anabantiformes; Osphronemidae. The record is from RNAcentral.
GCUUACGGCGAUACCACCCUGAGCACGCCUGAUCUCGUAUGAUCUCGGAAGCUAAGCAGGGUCGGGCCUGGUUAGUACUUGGAAGGGAGGACUGCCUGGGAAUACAAGGUGUUGUAAGCU